Molecule: long non-coding RNA, 2543 nt
Filed under: Olea europaea subsp. europaea
Lineage: Eukaryota; Viridiplantae; Streptophyta; Magnoliopsida; Lamiales; Oleaceae
Source: RNAcentral
AGAGCUCCGCGCUAUUCCCAAUUGUUCCUCAUUCCAUUUGCUUCUCUAUUAUGAGAAUCAUAGAAAGAUUCACCGCCACUCUUCAACGAGGCCCAUUCAACUCCACAAUCCAGAUCCGUUUCAAGAAACCCGCCAACACGGCUCAGACCCGUUUAGAGACUCGUGCUCGGGACCCGAAACUCGACCUCCUCACAUUCCACCACCGCCGGCUUGAACUCGUUCUGAGCAUCCACAAGCUCAUCUCCGCCAAGAAACGUGGGCCAUUUGUCUCCGUACAGCUCCUCUCCAGAUGGGCUCCACACGCCGGAAUCGAUACCGUAACUGCUGGCGCUUUUAUACGGAAAUAUCCCCAUGUGUUCGAGGUAUUUACGCACCCGAUUCAGCGAAAUGUUUGCUGUAAAUUUACGCCGAAAUUUAUCGAAUUGUUAAAGCGAGAAGUUGAAAUUUUAUGUGAAAUGGAAGAUAUUAAUGUGGUUAAGAUAAGAAAGCUAUUAAUGAUGUCUGUGAAUGGGAAAAUUCAUUUACAUGCAAUUAGAUUGAUUAGGAGAGAACUGGGUUUGCCUGAAGAUUUUAGAGAGUCCAUUAUUCGAAAAUAUGAUAAUGUUUUUAGAUUAUUUGAUUUGGAGAUAAUGGAAUUGGUUGAUAGGAAUGAAAAUAAUGAGAGUUCGAGUUAUGUGGCGGAUGUUGAGAUGUGGAGAGAAAAGGAGUAUAGAGAGAAAUGGUUAAGUGAAUUCGAGACAAAAUAUGCAUUUCCAAUUAAUUUCCCAACAGGGUUUAUGAUAGUUCCAGGAUUUAGGGAGAAACUAAGGAAUUGGCAAAGGCUUACGUAUGUGAAGCCGUAUGAAAGAAUGAAAAAUGUUAGCAUCCGUAGUUUUGGAGGAGUUGAAAGGUACGAAAAGCAAGCAGUGGGUAUUUUUCACGAGCUCUUGUGCUUGACGGUUGAGAAAAAGGUGGAGGUAGAGAGAUUGGCGCAUUUUCGGAAGGAUCUUGGUGUUGAGGUUAACAUACGCGAGCUUCUUUUGAAACAUCCGGGGAUUUUUUAUAUUUCGACUAGAGGGAACACACAAAUGGUUUAUCUUAGGGAAGCAUAUGAUAAAGGGUGUUUGGUAGAACCAAAUCCGGUAUAUGACGUGAGGAGGAAAAUGUUGGAGCUUAUCUUAUUGGGGUGUCGUAAUACUGAAGAAUUGAGAGAGUGGUCAGAAGUUGAGGAUAGAAGAAAGUGUGUAAUGAAAAUGAACUUGGCAUGAGAGAUGGUGAUUUUGUUAUUCCAAUUUUAGAGAGCUUUCCCAACGGCAAGAUAUGACUAUCAUCCCAGCAAGAGUGGUGAUUCAUCGGAAGUGGUGUUUGAUGAGCUUUAUGAGAAGGAAAUCAAUGAUGAGACAGGUCUUUAAGAAUGAUAUGGAUUCUUUGUGGAAUAAUGAUUUAUGAUCACAACCGGACUUCUUUCUGCCAUUGGCUGCCUGAGACAAAUGGACUGGAAUCUAAUAGGUUCUUGACUGCUAUAUUUACGCGGCAUGCAUCCUCUCUUUAUGCACCUGUUCUCAGUUCUCACAGAUAAUGAGGUUCUUGCUUUGUCCUUUCCCACACUAUAGAUUUUGUCGAACAGGUGUGGUGACAUGAAAUAAGCUUGGGAAGCCUCUUUUGUAAUUCUAAUACUAUAAUGUUGGCCUUUGGCUGCAGAGACCAGAGAAUUUGGUAUUCUGACAUUGAUGGGUGUUGCUUAUUUCAGGUAAAGAUUGUCAUUUGUUUCCUUUAUGCGAUUGCCAUUUUUCCUAAGGCUACUGGAGAUGAUGAACUGACCUGGAUUCACAGGAUUCAAGUGAUCUAGGCAAGUAUGACCACAUUUUUCUUGUCCAAAUUAUCAAUUAUGUUUCACUUUUUUCAGUAUUAUAUAUCAGGCAAUCUUUGCAAUGCUUAUUUUUUGCAGCAUUCUUUCCCAAAAUUUUGUCUGGUGCAAAUCAUAAACAAUGAUAAUAUAGGAUCAGUAAUGGUGAUGAACAAUGUAUUAGAAGAUUAAAUUUCAACCUUGGCAAGGAAAAUAUAUGACACGUGUGUGUGUGUGUGUGUGAGAGAGAGAGAGAGAGAUGACAUUUUUUUUUCAAGUGAUUCUUUACUUGGGCCCUUAGAUUCUAUUCUAGUCUACUAAUGCUGUUGUGUGGAUUUCUGAGCGAAGGAAAACUAGGUUUCUCUCAGAAUCACGACAAAACCCGAAUUGCUCUCAUGGAGAUUGAGAUUAACAUGCUACAAUGUUUGAACAAAGUUCCAGCACGGGUUUCAGGGAAGCCAUCUCUUGUUGUUUGAGCUCCAUUAAUCUUUUGUCACACAAAAUCUCAGAGAAAAUGACUGUUGCAUUGACGAGGAGCUUGCUGGGAGCAUCCCCUGUAACAAUUGACAUUUAGUGCAAAGUGUUGCAAAGUAUGUAAACUGAAUCUUGGCUGCAAAUAUGUGGGAGGAUAGCAUGAAGAAAAUGUAGUGCAUUCUCUGCAAAUUUUUGCAAUUUGUUUUUUAUUUUUUCUUUAUUUUUGUUUAUUUAAAGAGGUUGG